AAGAGCAAAGGCAAACCCAGGAAACUCAUCUUUUGGAUGGUGACAAGUGUCCAGGGUUGGUGACACUUGUCACCAAUAUCCUCACACUUUCAUCAGCCAUAUUAAAACAAAAAUGGGAAAAUAAAACAUCAUUCUUCAAGAGUUUUUCUCUCUCUAACUCCUAAAGCAGAUGUAGGCUCUUCAAUUACACAACCACUCUCUCUUUGACCUACCUGCCGGAGAAGAAGGUGGCAGGCGGCCAUCCACGGUGGCGCCGCCCCUCUAAUUCCACCUUCCCCAUUAAAAUACUCUCCUGAGUUUGAAUCUGAACUCAGAUUCUUCACCACUAUCCCUAAUCGUCCGGAUCGGGGACGUCUAACUAAAACCCUAAGACCAAAAUCGAAUCAACAAUAGUGAAGGUCUCCCCCAAUUAAACAUGGAUUCCUCUCAAGUCUACAAGGUGAGUACAAAGGUGAAGCGGAGGAAAGAAAAGAAGAGAUAAAGGAGAGAGGAGUAUACUACCUCAUAAUUAGUCUGAAGGGCGCACCUCCGGCGAGCUUAGGUGAAGUGAUGUUGAUGCUGAUUGAUUGAAAAAGGGGCGCUGUUAUUCAACAGGUUUUUUGGAAAAGUUCUGAAGAGUUGCUUUUGAAUUGGGAACUUCCAAAAGAGCUUUUGGAAGAGUCUGUGAAAUUUGCUUCAAACUGCUGUGUUUACAGCUUAUUCCAAUUUUUUAAAUAAAAUUAUUUCUGAUGUAAGAGAGACUUUUUGGAUUAUGAACUUAGAGAUUGCUUGUAACAUGUACAAACUUAAUUUGGAAUUUCUCUUUUUGGCCAUUCCAAUUUUUUAAAUAAAAUUAUUUCUGAUGUAACAGAGACUUUUUGGAUUAUGAACUUAGGGAUUGCUUGUAACAUGUACAAACUUAAUUUGGAAUUUCUCUUUUUGGCCAGUUAUGUAAUUGUUUUGGAUUAUUAAGAA
Molecule: long non-coding RNA, 954 nt
Organism: Lathyrus oleraceus (garden pea)
Lineage: Eukaryota; Viridiplantae; Streptophyta; Magnoliopsida; Fabales; Fabaceae
Exons: 2
Source: RefSeq, a predicted model, not a curated record